CCCGCUCAGAACUCAAGGAAUUGACGGGGCCCGCACAAGCGGAGGAACAUGUGGUUUAAUUCGAUGAUACGCGAGGAACCUUACCCGGGCUUGAAAUGCAUCUGACCGGCCUUGAAAGAGGUUUUUCCCCUUCGGGGCAGAUGUGUAGGUGCUGCAUGGUUGUCGUCAGCUCGUGCCGUGAGGUGUCGGCUUAAGUGCCAUAACGAGCGCAACCCUCAUCAUUAGUUACCAUCAGGUAAGGCUGGGGACUCUAAUGAGACUGCCAUCGUAAGAUGUGAGGAAGGUGGGGAUGACGUCAAAUCAGCACGGCCCUUACGUCCGGGGCGACACACGUGUUACAAUGGGUGGUACAAAGGGCAGCUACCUGGCGACAGGAUGCUAAUCUCCAAAACCACUCUCAGUUCGGAUCGGAGUCUGCAACUCGACUCCGUGAAGCUGGAUUCGCUAGUAAUCGCGCAUCAGCCACGGCGCGGUGAAUACGUUCCCGGGCCUU
RNAcentral lists this ribosomal RNA (493 nucleotides) under uncultured Proteiniphilum sp. Its description in RNAcentral is "bacterial SSU rRNA". It matches the Rfam family "Bacterial small subunit ribosomal RNA", at positions 904 to 1382 of the family's 1533-position model. Lineage: Bacteria; Pseudomonadati; Bacteroidota; Bacteroidia; Bacteroidales; Dysgonomonadaceae. The record is from RNAcentral.